Molecule: ribosomal RNA, 553 nt
Filed under: Saccharomyces cerevisiae (brewer's yeast)
Lineage: Eukaryota; Fungi; Ascomycota; Saccharomycetes; Saccharomycetales; Saccharomycetaceae
Description: eukaryotic LSU rRNA
Rfam family: Eukaryotic large subunit ribosomal RNA
Source: RNAcentral
GGCGAGUGAAGCGGCAAAAGCUCAAAUUUGAAAUCUGGUACCUUCGGUGCCCGAGUUGUAAUUUGGAGAGGGCAACUUUGGGGCCGUUCCUUGUCUAUGUUCCUUGGAACAGGACGUCAUAGAGGGUGAGAAUCCCGUGUGGCGAGGAGUGCGGUUCUUUGUAAAGUGCCUUCAAAAAGUCGAGUUGUUUGGGAAUGCAGCUCUAAGUGGGUGGUAAAUUCCAUCUAAAGCUAAAUAUUGGCGAGAGACCGAUAGCGAACAAGUACAGUGAUGGAAAGAUGAAAAGAACUUUGAAAAGAGAGUGAAAAAGUACGUGAAAUUGUUGAAAGGGAAGGGCAUUUGAUCAGACAUGGUGUUUUGUGCCCUCUGCUCCUUGUGGGUAGGGGAAUCUCGCAUUUCACUGGGCCAGCAUCAGUUUUGGUGGCAGGAUAAAUCCAUAGGAAUGUAGCUUGCCUCGGUAAGUAUUAUAGCCUGUGGGAAUACUGCCAGCUGGGACUGAGGACUGCGACGUAAGUCAAGGAUGCUGGCAUAAUGGUUAUAUGCCGCCCGUCUU